Molecule: non-coding RNA, 23 nt
Filed under: Locusta migratoria (migratory locust)
Lineage: Eukaryota; Metazoa; Arthropoda; Insecta; Orthoptera; Acrididae
Also listed under: 1 other name
Gene: lmi-miR-8-3p
Source: miRBase by way of RNAcentral
UAAUACUGUCAGGUAACGAUGUC